GCUCGUGUCGUGAGAUGUUGGUUAGUCCGCAACGAGCGCAACCCCUACUUGUUAGUUGCCAUCAUUCAGUUGGGCACUCUAGCGAGACUGCCGGUAAUAAACCGGAGGAAGGUGGGGAUGACGUCAAAUCAUCAUGCCCCUUAUGACCUGGGCUACACACGUGCUACAAUGGUUGGUACAACGAGUUGCGAGUCGGUGACGGCGAGCUAAUCUCUUAAAGCCAAUCUCAGUUCGGAUUGUAGGCUGCAACUCGCCUACAUGAAGUCGGAAUCGCUAGUAAUCGCGGAUCAGCACGCCGCGGUGAAUACGUUCCCGGGCCUU
This 321-nucleotide ribosomal RNA is filed under the name uncultured Streptococcus sp. Its description in RNAcentral is "bacterial SSU rRNA". It matches the Rfam family "Bacterial small subunit ribosomal RNA", at positions 1058 to 1382 of the family's 1533-position model. Lineage: Bacteria; Bacillati; Bacillota; Bacilli; Lactobacillales; Streptococcaceae. The record is from RNAcentral.